GUGCCAGCAGCCGCGGUAAUACGUAGGUGGCAAGCGUUGUCCGGAUUUAUUGGGCGUAAAGCGAGCGCAGGCGGUUUUUUAAGUCUGAUGUGAAAGCCUUCGGCUCAACCGAAGAAGUGCAUCGGAAACUGGGAAACUUGAGUGCAGAAGAGGACAGUGGAACUCCAUGUGUAGCGGUGAAAUGCGUAGAUAUAUGGAAGAACACCAGUGGCGAAGGCGGCUGUCUGGUCUGUAACUGACGCUGAGGCUCGAAAGUAUGGGUAGCAAACAGGAUUAGAUACCCUGGUAGUCCAUACCGUAAACGAUGAAUGCUAAGUGUUGGAGGGUUUCCGCCCUUCAGUGCUGCAGCUAACGCAUUAAGCAUUCCGCCUGGGGAGUACGGCCGCAAGGCUGAAACUCAAAGGAAUUGACGGGGGCCCGCACAAGCGGUGGAGCAUGUGGUUUAAUUCGAAGCUACGCGAAGAACCUUACCAGGUCUUGACAUACUAUGCAAAUCUAAGAGAUUAGACGUUCCCUUCGGGGACAUGGAUACAGGUGGUGCAUGGUUGUCGUCAGCCCGUGUCGUGAGAUGUUGGGUUAAGUCCCGCAACGAGCGCAACCCUUAUUAUCAGUUGCCAGCAUUAAGUUGGGCACUCUGGUGAGACUGCCGGUGACAAACCGGAGGAAGGUGGGGAUGACGUCAAAUCAUCAUGCCCCUUAUGACCUGGGCUACACACGUGCUACAAUGGAUGGUACAACGAGUUGCGAACUCGCGAGAGUAAGCUAAUCUCUUAAAGCCAUUCUCAGUUCGGAUUGUAGGCUGCAACUCGCCUACAUGAAGUCGGAAUCGCUAGUAAUCGCGGAUCAGCAUGCCGCGGUGAAUACGUUCCCGGGCCUUGUACACACCGCCCGU
This 892-nucleotide ribosomal RNA is filed under the name uncultured bacterium. Its description in RNAcentral is "bacterial SSU rRNA". It matches the Rfam family "Bacterial small subunit ribosomal RNA", at positions 505 to 1397 of the family's 1533-position model. The record is from RNAcentral.